RNAcentral lists this ribosomal RNA (253 nucleotides) under uncultured bacterium. Its description in RNAcentral is "partial 16S ribosomal RNA". It matches the Rfam family "Bacterial small subunit ribosomal RNA", at positions 524 to 776 of the family's 1533-position model. The record is from RNAcentral.
UACGGGGGGUGCAAGCGUUGUUCGGAAUUAUUGGGCGUAAAGCGCGUGUAGGCGGUCUGAUUAGUCUGAUGUGAAAGCCCUGGGCUCAACCCAGGAAGUGCAUUGGAUACUGUCAGACUUGAAUACGGGAGAGGGUAGUGGAAUUCCUAGUGUAGGAGUGAAAUCCGUAGAUAUUAGGAGGAACACCGGUGGCGAAGGCGGCUACCUGGACCGAUAUUGACGCUGAGGCGCGAAAGCUAGGGGAGCAAACGGG